AGAGUUUGAUCCUGGCUCAGAUUGAACGCUGGCGGCAUGCCUAACACAUGCAAGUCGAACGGUAACAGGUCUUCGGAUGCUGACGAGUGGCGGACGGGUGAGUAACGCGUAGGAAUCUGUCUUUGAGUGGGGGACAACCCAGGGAAACUUGGGCUAAUACCGCAUAAGCCCUGAGGGGGAAAGCGGGGGAUCUUCGGACCUCGCGCUGGAAGAGGAGCCUACGUCUGAUUAGCUAGUUGGUAGGGUAAAGGCCUACCAAGGCGACGAUCGGUAGCUGGUCUGAGAGGACGACCAGCCACACUGGGACUGAGACACGGCCCAGACUCCUACGGGAGGCAGCAGUGGGGAAUUUUUCGCAAUGGGGGCAACCCUGACGAAGCAAUGCCGCGUGAAUGAAGAAGGCCUUCGGGUUGUAAAGUUCUUUCGUGGAGGACGAAAAGGUAGGUGCUAAUAUCGCCUGCCGUUGACGUGAAUCCAAGAAGAAGCACCGGCUAACUCCGUGCCAGCAGCCGCGGUAAUACGGGGGGUGCAAGCGUUAAUCGGAAUCACUGGGCGUAAAGGGUGCGUAGGCGGUGCAUUAGGUCUGUCGUGAAAUCCCCGGGCUCAACCUGGGAAUGGCGGUGGAAACCGGUGUACUAGAGUAUGGGAGAGGGUGGUGGAAUUCCAGGUGUAGCGGUGAAAUGCGUAGAGAUCUGGGAGGAACAUCAGUGGC
Molecule: ribosomal RNA, 712 nt
Filed under: uncultured bacterium
Lineage: Bacteria
Description: bacterial SSU rRNA
Rfam family: Bacterial small subunit ribosomal RNA
Source: RNAcentral